This 253-nucleotide ribosomal RNA is filed under the name uncultured bacterium. Its description in RNAcentral is "partial 16S ribosomal RNA". It matches the Rfam family "Bacterial small subunit ribosomal RNA", at positions 524 to 776 of the family's 1533-position model. The record is from RNAcentral.
UACGGAGGGAGCUAGCGUUGUUCGGAAUUACUGGGCGUAAAGCGCACGUAGGCGGCUUUGUAAGUUAGAGGUGAAAGCCCGGGGCUCAACCCCGGAACUGCCUUUAAGACUGCAUCGCUUGAAUCCAGGAGAGGUGAGUGGAAUUCCGAGUGUAGAGGUGAAAUUCGUAGAUAUUCGGAAGAACACCAGUGGCGAAGGCGGCUCACUGGCCUGGUAUUGACGCUGAGGUGCGAAAGCGUGGGGAGCAAACAGG